UUCGCAAUGCCCGAAAGGGUGACGAAGCGACGCCGCGUGGGUAAGGAAGGCCUUCGGGUUGUAAAGCCCUGUCAGGAGUUAAGAAAUGUAGACUCGCUAAUAUCGGGUCUAUUUGACAAAGGCUCCAAAGGAAGCCACGGCUAACUCUGUGCCAGCAGCCGCGGUAAUACAGAGGUGGCAAGCGUUGUUCGGAAUUAUUGGGCGUAAAGAGCACGUAGGUGGAUUUGUAAGUCAGACGUGAAAGCCUCCUGUUCAACGGAAGAAUUGCAUCUGAAACUACAAACCUUGAGUGUAGGAGGGGAGAAUGGAACUUCUGGUGGAGCGGUGAAAUGCGUAGAUAUCAGAAGGAACGCCGGCGGCGAAAGCGAUUCUCUGGCCUAUUACUGACACUCAGUGUGCGAAAGCUAGGGGAGCAAACGGGAUUAGAUACCCCGGUAGUCCUAGCCGUAAACGAUGGGCACUAAGUAGAGGGGUUUU
Molecule: ribosomal RNA, 477 nt
Filed under: uncultured Candidatus Scalindua sp.
Lineage: Bacteria; Pseudomonadati; Planctomycetota; Candidatus Brocadiia; Candidatus Brocadiales; Candidatus Scalinduaceae
Description: bacterial SSU rRNA
Rfam family: Bacterial small subunit ribosomal RNA
Source: RNAcentral